CAGUCGCCGCGGUAAUACGUAGGGUGCGAGCGUUAAUCGGAAUUACUGGGCGUAAAGCGUGCGCAGGCGGUUGUGUGAGACAGGUGUGAAAUCCCCGGGCUUAACCUGGGAACUGCGCUUGUGACUGCACAGCUAGAGUAUGGCAGAGGGGGGUGGAAUUCCACGUGUAGCAGUGAAUGCUUAGAGAUGUGGAGGAACACCGAUGGCGAAGGCAGCCCCCUGGGCCAAUACUGACGCUCAUGCACGAAAGCGUGGGGAGCAAACAGGAUUAGAUACCCCUGUAGUCCCUGUCUCUUAUACA
RNAcentral lists this ribosomal RNA (301 nucleotides) under uncultured bacterium. Its description in RNAcentral is "partial 16S ribosomal RNA". It matches the Rfam family "Bacterial small subunit ribosomal RNA", at positions 509 to 808 of the family's 1533-position model. The record is from RNAcentral.